RNAcentral lists this long non-coding RNA (506 nucleotides) under Anas platyrhynchos platyrhynchos (common mallard). RNAcentral's name for it is "lncRNA (ENSAPLG00000017167.1)". The record is from RNAcentral. Lineage: Eukaryota; Metazoa; Chordata; Aves; Anseriformes; Anatidae.
CCUAGUGAUGAGGGACUGAGUCAGAAGAGAGGAAACCUAAUUUCCAGACUCUGCUCCAGUUGUUUAAGCAUCUUAUCUAAUAUCCCUUUCAUUUGUAUUCAAGCAGCUGAGAAGAGCUUUUGUUGAAUUUUGAGCAGCAAGGUCCAUGAGAUUUCCAAUCCUGAUAAGUAUGUGGUGCUUGAAAACAGCAGAAAGUAAACAAAACGCAUGGAUUUGAGAGCAUCACAUCAUUAAAGGAAGAAGAAAAUUUUUUAAAAACUUGAGAGACCCAUGUAUUUGUAUUGCCAGAUGAAGGCAAAGUGAUUGUGAUGGAUUUUCAAGGUUGCUUGGAAUUAUUCAACUGUUAACAUCCCUGCCUAUAUUUUGAAGGUGCACAACCUACUCACUCUUUUUAAUUUAAUGGAAGCCACUGAAACUCAAAAGGAUUGUUUUCAAUAUGAAACCUCAAGAAACUGAGGUUGGUGCUCUAUACAAAAUUUUAACUGUUAGAUAUUUUAAAGGGUGAC